GGAAUUUUUGACAAUGGGGGAAACCCUGAUCAAGCAACGCCGCGUGGAUGAUGAAGUAUCUCGGUACGUAAAAUCCUUUCGACAGGGAAGAAAGCCAGUCUUCGGAUUGGCCUGACGGUACCUGUAGAAGAAGCCCCGGCUAACGCCGUUCCAGCAGCCGCGGUAAUACGGGGGGGGCAAGCGUUGUUCGGAUUUACUGGGCGUAAAGGGCGCGUAGGCGGUUUGUUAAGUCGGAUGUGAAAACUCUGGGCUCAACCCAGAGCCUGCAUCCGAUACUGGCAAGCUAGAGUGCGAGAGGGGAAAGCGGAAUUCCUGGUGUAGCGGUGAAAUGCGUAGAUAUCAGGAGGAACACCGGCGGCGAAGGCGGCUUUCUGGAUCGCAACUGACGCUGAGGCGCGAAAGCUAGGGGAGCA
Molecule: ribosomal RNA, 413 nt
Filed under: uncultured bacterium
Lineage: Bacteria
Description: bacterial SSU rRNA
Rfam family: Bacterial small subunit ribosomal RNA
Source: RNAcentral